GUGUCUAUGGUUUAAUUAAAACGUUAGAUUGUGAUUCUAAAAAUAAAAGUUAAAAUCUUUUUACUCACC
This 69-nucleotide transfer RNA is filed under the name Leucoraja circularis (sandy ray). Its description in RNAcentral is "tRNA-His". It matches the Rfam family "tRNA". Rfam says of the family: Transfer RNA (tRNA) molecules are approximately 80 nucleotides in length. Lineage: Eukaryota; Metazoa; Chordata; Chondrichthyes; Rajiformes; Rajidae. The record is from RNAcentral.